AGGGCGCAUGGUGGAUGCCUUGGCACUAGGAGCCGAUGAAGGACGUGACUAACUGCGAUAAGCUUCGGGGAGUUGUAAGUAAACUGUGAUCCGGAGAUUUCCGAAUGGGGAAACCCAGCAGGAGUAAAGACCUGUUAUCACUGAGUGAAUACAUAGCUCAGUUGAAGGUAGACGUGGGGAACUGAAACAUCUAAGUACCCAUAGGAAGAGAAAGAAAAUUCGAUUCCCUGAGUAGCGGCGAGCGAAAAGGGAACAGCCCAAACCAAGAAGCUUGCUUCUUGGGGUUGUAGGACUGGACAUUUGAGUUACCAAGAAACGAAGUAGUUGAAUGAUUUGGGAAGAUCAGCCAGAGAAGGUGAUAGCCCUGUAAGCGAAACUUCGUUUCCUCAGCCCAGUAUCCUGAGUACGGCGGAACACGUGAAACUCCGUCGGAAUCCGGGAGGACCAUCUCCCAAGGCUAAAUACUCCCUAGUGACCGAUAGUGAACCAGUACCGUGAGGGAAAGGUGAAAAGCACCCCGGGAGGGGAGUGAAAUAGUUCCUGAAACCAUGUGCCUACAAGUAGUCAGAGCCCGUUAAUGGGUGAUGGCGUGCCUUUUGUAGAAUGAACCGGCGAGUUACGUUAGCGUGCGAGGUUAAGGCGCAAAGGCCGGAGCCGUAGCGAAAGCGAGUCUGAAUAGGGCGAAUGAGUACGUUGACGUAGACCCGAAACCAGGUGACCUACCCAUGUCCAGGUUGAAGGUGCGGUAAGACGCACUGGAGGACCGAACCCGUGUAUGUUGAAAAAUGCUGGGAUGAGGUGUGGGUAGAGGUGAAAUUCCAAACGAACUUGGAGAUAGCUGGUUCUCUCCGAAAUAGCUUUAGGGCUAGCCUCGGAGUUAAGGAUCGUGGAGGUAGAGCACUGUUUGGACUAGGGGCCCGUCUUGGGUUACUGAAUUCAGAUAAACUCCGAAUGCCACAGAUCUAUAUCCGGGAGUCAGACUGCGAGUGAUAAGAUCCGUAGUCGAAAGGGAAACAGCCCAGACCACCGAUUAAGGUCCCUAAAUAUGUGUUAAGUGGAAAAGGAUGUGGAAUUGCACAGACAACUAGGAUGUUGGCUUAGAAGCAGCCACCAUUUAAAGAGUGCGUAAUAGCUCACUAGUCGAGUGAUCCUGCGCCGAAAAUGUAACGGGGCUAAACACAUUACCGAAAUCGUGGAUGCAACUAUGUUGCAUGGUAGGAGAGCGUUCUAAGGGCGAUGAAGCUAGACCGUAAGGACUGGUGGAGCGCUUAGAAGUGAGAAUGCCGGUAUGAGUAGCGAAAGAUCAGUGAGAAUCUGGUCCACCGUAUGACUAAGGUUUCCUGGGGAAGGCUCGUCCUCCCAGGGUUAGUCGGGACCUAAGCCGAGGCCGAGAGGCGUAGGCGAUGGAUAACAGGUUGAGAUUCCUGUACUGGUUUGAUUUGUUUGAACGAUGGAGGGACGCAGGAGGCUAGAGAUGCGUGCUGUUGGAUAUGCACGUCCAAGCAACGAGUCUGAUGAUGAGUCAAAUGCUUAUCGUCUUAAGGACAAGUUGUGACGGGGAGCGAAAUUAAAGUAGCGAAGUGAUCGAUGUCACACUGCCGAGAAAAGCUUCUAGUUAGAAUCAGACCACCCGUACCGCAAACCGACACAGGUAGUCGAGGCGAGUAGCCUAAGGUGAGCGAGAGAACUCUCGUUAAGGAACUCGGCAAAAUGACCCCGUAACUUCGGGAGAAGGGGUGCUGCACAAUGUGCAGCCGCAGUGAAUAGGCCCAGGCGACUGUUUAUCAAAAACACAGGUUUCUGCAAAAUCGUAAGAUGAAGUAUAGGGGCUGACGCCUGCCCGGUGCUGGAAGGUUAAGAGGAUGGGUUAGCGUAAGCGAAGCUCAGAAUUGAAGCCCCAGUAAACGGCGGCCGUAACUAUAACGGUCCUAAGGUAGCGAAAUUCCUUGUCGGGUAAGUUCCGACCCGCACGAAAGGCGUAACGAUCUGGGCACUGUCUCAACGAGAGACUCGGUGAAAUUAUAAUACCCGUGAAGAUGCGGGUUACCCGCGACAGGACGGAAAGACCCCAUGGAGCUUUACUGUAGCUUGAUAUUGGGUGUUUGUACAACUUGUACAGGAUAGGUAGGAGCCGUAGAAGUCGGAACGCUAGUUUCGAUCGAGGCGCUGGUGGGAUACUACCCUCGUUGUAUGAACACUCUAACCCUCGCCGCUCAUCGCGGCGGGAGACAGUGUCAGGUGGGCAGUUUGACUGGGGCGGUCGCCUCCUAAAAGGUAACGGAGGC
This 2285-nucleotide ribosomal RNA is filed under the name Ligilactobacillus animalis. Its description in RNAcentral is "bacterial LSU rRNA". It matches the Rfam family "Bacterial large subunit ribosomal RNA", at positions 14 to 2307 of the family's 2925-position model. The record is from RNAcentral. Lineage: Bacteria; Bacillati; Bacillota; Bacilli; Lactobacillales; Lactobacillaceae.